UUGAAAAUAUGUUGAACCGGUCAUCGAGCAGAGAUAUGUUUCUGAAUGGAGGAACAAAAGUGGUGUUUGUAUCGAAAAGCACUGCGUUUGAGACGCGAAGAAUCUGAUUUUUGUAGUCGAUUUGGUGGAUAAUAUAAUCAUUAUCUUGUAGUCUGAGGAUUGGACGGCUAUUAUGACAAACGAGAUUGAAUCCAGGGUACCCACAGAAAGAUUCUUGUUGGUCCUGGAUAUAAAAUGGGAAGUCUAUAAUUUGGCCAUCGCCACAGGAUUUUGGGACCCUGCAGGCCAAGUACUGAGGAUGUGUGCAUAUG
This 311-nucleotide unclassified non-coding RNA is filed under the name Hevea brasiliensis (rubber tree). The record is from RNAcentral. Lineage: Eukaryota; Viridiplantae; Streptophyta; Magnoliopsida; Malpighiales; Euphorbiaceae.